UGCCCAGCAACUCCUAUCCCUACCUCCUCGCGGUACUGGCCGGGGUACGAGUAACUUUACGGAAGAUCGGGUAACCAACCCCGGUGGGAACUCUGGUCGUAUGCUGACGGGGAAAG
Molecule: ribozyme, 116 nt
Filed under: Aedes aegypti (yellow fever mosquito)
Lineage: Eukaryota; Metazoa; Arthropoda; Insecta; Diptera; Culicidae
Description: drz-agam-1 ribozyme
Rfam family: drz-agam-1 ribozyme
Source: Rfam by way of RNAcentral